UAAAAGCUAUGGGAGGGUGCACUGAUGUCUGAGUGAUGUUUAACCAUGCCGGUCCAGGUACAGUGCCUGUCUCCGGAAUGAUGCAGGGAUCCCAAAGUGGAGAGAAUUAGACCUAUCGCAUUUGUGAUUAGAGUGGGCAAGAAAAGCAACAAAUGAUCAGGAGAAUUGGGGGCUUACCCAGUGAGCGAAGCUUUGGCAAAAAUGUAAAGCCGUGCAGCACAAUGCAAGAGGAGGCCAAGGACUCCCUGCAAAACCUCAACUUCAAGCCUAAAACAGCCUGAAGGUUGAAAAACUGGACUGCUGGCUCCAGAUGAAGUCCACCCUUUCCCAACUGAUUCUUUCUGAAUAAUGCCCACCUGCACACUCAGAGGAUGGGGUGGGGCCAUGCAAGCUCCCUGCCGGGAACCCAGCCUCUUGAGCUCCUAUGUGGUGGGGCAGGAGCCAGUUCACAGGCUUCCCUCUCACUCUGCUGAGAGUUUUUCUCUUUUCCUUUUUUUUGCCCAAUAAAUUCCAUUU
RNAcentral lists this long non-coding RNA (516 nucleotides) under Homo sapiens (human). RNAcentral describes it as "HSALNT0309955". The record is from RNAcentral. Lineage: Eukaryota; Metazoa; Chordata; Mammalia; Primates; Hominidae.